GACGAACGCUGGCGGCGUGCUUAACACAUGCAAGUCGAACGGAAAGGCCCUGCUUGCAGGGUACUCGAGUGGCGAACGGGCGAGUAACACGUGGGUGAUCUGCCCUGCACUUCGGGAUAAGCCUGGGAAACUGGGUCUAAUACCGGCUAGGAGCCAUAUUUAGUGUGAUGGUUGGAAAGUUUUUUCGGUGUAGGAUGAGCUCGCGGCCUAUCAGCUUGUUGGUGGGGUAAUGGUCUACCAAGGCGGCGGCGGGUAGCCGGCCUGAGAGGGUGGACGGCCACAUUGAGACUGAGAUACGGCACAGACUCCUACGGGAGGGAGCUGUGGGGAAGAUUGCACAAUGGGCGCAAGCCGGGUGCAGCGGCGCCGCGUGGGGGAUGACGGCCUUCGGGUUGUAAAAUCCUUUCGCUAGGGACGAAGCUUUUUGUGACGGUACCUAGAUAAGAAGCACCGGCUAACUACGUG
This 465-nucleotide ribosomal RNA is filed under the name uncultured bacterium. Its description in RNAcentral is "partial 16S ribosomal RNA". It matches the Rfam family "Bacterial small subunit ribosomal RNA", at positions 28 to 507 of the family's 1533-position model. The record is from RNAcentral.